RNAcentral lists this ribosomal RNA (253 nucleotides) under uncultured bacterium. RNAcentral's name for it is "partial 16S ribosomal RNA". It matches the Rfam family "Bacterial small subunit ribosomal RNA", at positions 524 to 776 of the family's 1533-position model. The record is from RNAcentral.
UACAGAGGGGGCAAGCGUUAUUCGGAAUUAUUGGGCGUAAAGAGCUCGUAGGCGGUCUGUUGCGUCGGCUGUGAAAACCCGAGGCUCAACCUCGGGCCUGCAGCCGAUACGGGCAGACUAGAGUUCGGCAGGGGAGACUGGAAUUCCUGGUGUAGCGGUGAAAUGCGCAGAUAUCAGGAGGAACACCGGUGGCGAAGGCGGGUCUCUGGGCCGAUACUGACGCUGAGGAGCGAAAGCGUGGGGAGCGAACAGG